UUAUUUUCAGGUUUUCAGCAUAGCGGUAAGACAAUCACAUACUUGACAAAGUGUGCCCCCUAAUAUUUCCAGUACCCACCUGGCACCAUACAUAGUUCUUACAAUAUUAUU
Molecule: long non-coding RNA, 111 nt
Organism: Myotis davidii
Lineage: Eukaryota; Metazoa; Chordata; Mammalia; Chiroptera; Vespertilionidae
Exons: 3
Source: RefSeq, a predicted model, not a curated record